RNAcentral lists this non-coding RNA (22 nucleotides) under Arabidopsis thaliana (thale cress). The record is from RNAcentral. Lineage: Eukaryota; Viridiplantae; Streptophyta; Magnoliopsida; Brassicales; Brassicaceae.
AGAAAUCCUAGAAUUGCAUGUU